RNAcentral lists this long non-coding RNA (420 nucleotides) under Ricinus communis (castor bean). Its description in RNAcentral is "long non-coding RNA (RCOM_LNC003297)". The record is from RNAcentral. Lineage: Eukaryota; Viridiplantae; Streptophyta; Magnoliopsida; Malpighiales; Euphorbiaceae.
AAAAAGUUGAGGGACCAAAUGGUAAGAGGGAAAAGUUCAGGGGCCUAAUAUUGAUAUGGAGAAGAAAGAAAAGAAAGGAGAUCGAGGAGAGAGAAUGCAUGGAGGAGAAGAGGAAAAGAGGGCUGUGGACGCCGGUGGCGGCCGACUGUCGAGCACGCGAUGCCAGCCGAAGGCGCUGCUGGCGUCGACGAGCGCAGCGGCACCAGCGGCGACGUCAAGCAACGGGAAUCGCGUGAAGCGCAGCGACUUCCGAAGGUCGUUUCGGCCGUUGCCGGUGUUAUUGGCGGCCGAAUCGGGUGCCGAUCGGCUCCCCUCGGCGAGGGCUCUCUUUUGGCGGCCGCAGCGACGUGAAUGGUGGCCAGAAACGAAAGUUCGCGGUGGAGAGAGAAAAUAGGGGCAGCCGACGUUUUUGUAUUNNNN